CUUUAAAAAUUCUUUAAAAUAUAUGUGUUGGGGACAUGUAGAUUUAUAUUAACUUUAAAGAUGAAUAAAAUUUGAAUUGAAGGCGCCGUGUAGUAUUUAGUGCCAUGCCUUGAUUUUUUAUAAAUUGAUAAAUGAUCGUGGUAGAUAGAAGUCUUGUCUAAGUUAAAUAGUUAUAAUGGAAGUGUAUUUAUAGGGAAAUUUAUUCUGUAGGUUG
Molecule: long non-coding RNA, 214 nt
Filed under: Olea europaea (common olive)
Lineage: Eukaryota; Viridiplantae; Streptophyta; Magnoliopsida; Lamiales; Oleaceae
Description: long non-coding RNA (OEUR_LNC010209)
Source: RNAcentral